Molecule: ribosomal RNA, 200 nt
Filed under: uncultured bacterium
Lineage: Bacteria
Description: partial 16S ribosomal RNA
Rfam family: Bacterial small subunit ribosomal RNA
Source: RNAcentral
GGCUGAAAUUCGCCUUCAUGAAGCCGGAAUUGCUAGUAAUGGCAGGUCAGCAUACUGCCGUGAAUACGUUCCCGGGCCUUGUACACACCGCCCGUCACACCAUGAGAGUUGGGGAUACCCGAAGCCUGUGAGCUAACUAUUUAUAGGAGCAGCAGUCGAAGGUAGAAUCAAUGAUUGGGGUGAAGUCGUAACAAGGUACC